AGUGGCGAACGGGUGCGUAACACGUGAGAAACCUGCCCCGAUCUCUGGGAUAACAGUUGGAAACGACUGCUAAUACCGGAUGCCGUCACACCGCUUCAUGGCGGAGUGCCGAAAGAUUUAUCGGAUCGGGAGGGUCUCGCGGCCUAUCAGCUAGUUGGAGAGGUAACGGCUCACCAAGGCAUCGACGGGUAGCUGGUCUGAGAGGAUGAUCAGCCACACUGGGACUGAGACACGGCCCAGACUCCUACGGGAGGCAGCAGUGGGGAAUCUUGCACAAUGGGCGAAAGCCUGAUGCAGCAACGCCGCGUGCGGGAAGAAGGCCCUAGGGUUGUAAACCGCUUUCAGUAGGGAAGAAAAUGACGGUACCUACAGAAGAAGGUGCGGCCAACUACGUGCCAGCAGCCGCGGUGACACGUAGGCACCAAGCGUUAUCCGGAUUUAUUGGGCGUAAAGAGCUCGUAGGCGGUUUGGUAAGUCGGGUGUGAAAACUCUGGGCUCAACCCAGAGACGCCACCCGAUACUGCUAUGACUAGAGUACGGUAGGGGAGCGGGGAAUUCAUGGUGUAGCGGUGAAAUGCGCAGAUAUCAUGAGGAACACCAGCGGCGAAGGCGCCGCUCUGGGCCGUAACUGACGCUGAGGAGCGAAAGCAUGGGUAGCAAACAGGAUUAGAUACCCUGGUAGUCCAUGCCGUAAACGUUGGGCACUAGG
RNAcentral lists this ribosomal RNA (709 nucleotides) under uncultured bacterium. RNAcentral's name for it is "bacterial SSU rRNA". It matches the Rfam family "Bacterial small subunit ribosomal RNA", at positions 94 to 820 of the family's 1533-position model. The record is from RNAcentral.